RNAcentral lists this ribosomal RNA (497 nucleotides) under uncultured bacterium. RNAcentral's name for it is "partial 16S ribosomal RNA". It matches the Rfam family "Bacterial small subunit ribosomal RNA", at positions 28 to 507 of the family's 1533-position model. The record is from RNAcentral.
GAUGAACGCUGGCGGCGUGCCUAAUACAUGCAAGUCGAGCGAACAGACGAGGAGCUUGCUCCUCUGACGUUAGCGGCGGACGGGUGAGUAACACGUGUAUAACCUACCUAUAGGACUGGGAUAACUUCGGGAAACCGGAGCUAAUACCGGAUAAUAUAUUGAACCGCAUGGUUCAAUAGUGAAAUACGGUUUUGCUGUCACUUAUAGAUGGAUCUGCGCCGCAUUAGCUAGUUGGUAAGGUAACGGCUUACCAAGGCAACGAUGCGUAGCCGACAUGAGAGGGUGAUCGGCCACACUGGAACUGAGACACGGUCCAGACUCCUACGGGAGGCAGCAGUAGGGAAUCUGCCGCAAUGGGCGAAAGCUUGACGGAGCAACGCCGCGUGAGUGAUGAAGGUCUUCGGAUCGUAAAACUCUGUUAUUAGGGAAGAACAAAUGUGUAAGUAACUAUGCACGUCUUGACGGUACCUAAUCAGAAAGCCACGGCUAACUACGUG